UUCUACAAAUUCUUUUGAUUUGAUACAUGUUGAUAUAUGGGGUCCUUAUACUACUCUUACAUAAUGUAUGAGGUUUCGUUUUUCUGAUUAGCUGGUUGUUUUUUGGUGAUACGGUGAUUAUGUCUUUUUGAAAGACUGGAUGACACAUAAGUUCUGCUGAUUAUUGCUGACUUUUUUACGUUAUUUAGCUGUUGGAAUUUCCUACAGGGUUUGCUGUGAGAGUUGGCGGAUUUUUUAUCCAUAAGCUUUUACAUAGUUUGGUUAUUUGUUUUUAUUUUCUGGGUUGAUUUUCAUCAGGGAGUUUGUAAAUGUUUUUUUCUGUAUUGUCCCUGGGCUUAUGUGGAUGAUGUCUUUUUAGUUUGGUGGGAUAUACCUGGACAUUGUGGGUAUAUUGUCCAGUGUUGUAUUUUUCCAUCGAUUUGAUUGUGGAAUUUACUCUCAGCUUAAUAAAAGUAUAUUAUCUUUUUUCAAAAACAAAAUGGUAGUGUUGAACAAUAUAAAGCAAGGUUGCUAGGAGAAAGUUAUAAUUAAAGAGCUGAUUUUAAUUAUCAAGAAAGCUUUAGUCCGGUGGCAAAACACACAACCCUGCCAGAAGGAAAUCAAGUUAAGGGUGUCCUAAUAAUGUUCAAAUGGUGUGCAAAUUACACAGGUCUUUGCAUGGCUUUAAGCAAGUGUCAAGGUAUACGAAUAAAAAGGCUUCAAUUGUUGAAGAAGAGUGCAUAAAUGGCAAGUGCUUCUUCUAUACAUGUUUCAGUAUUUUGAGCAUAAUUCUCAUUCUAGAUGUUCAAUUGAUGUGAUUCUUGAGUUAAUGGAAAGCUAAGAGACAGAGUCACAACUUCCAUGUUUACUACUUUUCCCAAUUCAGCUUUGAUCAAGGAAAAAUCACAUCACAAGUUGAUUGAUUGCAACAGAAUGCAUGGUGGAAACAGCAAGUGUGGCGCUGUGGUGCCAAAAGGAUGAAAUGCAAUAUAUAUAUAUAUAGCAGAGCUGGUGCCAUAGUGCCUGGAAAGUGAGGUUGCAGCAUCGCACCAACAUCUCAGGAAAAGGCUCUUCCGAACUUUAUAAAAAUUCAUUUUUUUUGGGAGGCUAUAAAAAGGCACUUUUGAGGCAAUUGAAAGACACAAUUAAGCUAGGAUUUCUCUGAAGAAAAAGAGCCAUCAAGUACUCAAGAAUGCGAAGAAAAACUUGGAAGAUUGAAGAUCGGAAGACAUGACAAUCUUUAGUUUUCUUUUCCUUUUUGUUUCUUCUUUGAUUUUAUUGAAUUGUUAUUGAUGGUUAAACUUCUUUGAAUUGUGUUUUUAUUAUUCACCAUGAACUAAUUGUUUUUAUCUAGGAUUGCAAUUGAACUCAACAUGUAGUUUGGAUUUUUAAUUUUCUCUCUUUCUUAUGAUCAAUGGAAUAU
Molecule: non-coding RNA, 1402 nt
Organism: Theobroma cacao (cacao)
Lineage: Eukaryota; Viridiplantae; Streptophyta; Magnoliopsida; Malvales; Malvaceae
Source: RefSeq, a predicted model, not a curated record